This 405-nucleotide ribosomal RNA is filed under the name uncultured bacterium. RNAcentral describes it as "partial 16S ribosomal RNA". It matches the Rfam family "Bacterial small subunit ribosomal RNA", at positions 28 to 526 of the family's 1533-position model. The record is from RNAcentral.
GACGAACGCUGGCGGCGUGCUUAACACAUGCAAGUCGAGCGGAGCGGCGAACGGGUGCGUAACGCGUGAGUAAAUGCCCCCCUCUCUGGGAUAACAGUUGGAAACGGCUGCCAAUACCGGAUAGUGGGGGAUGACUCGCGGCCUAUCAGCUUGUUGGUGGGGUAGUGGCCUACCAAGGCGACGACGGGUAGCCGGCCUGGGAGGGCGACCGGCCACAAGGGGCUGAGAGACGGCCCAAACGCCUACGGGAGGCAACAGGGGGGAAUAUUGCACAAUGGGGGAAACCCUGAGGCAGCAACGCCGCGUGCGGGAUGACGGCCUUCGGGUGGUAAACCGCUUGCAGCCAUGACGCGGUAGUGGCAGAAGAAGCACCGGCUAACUACGUGCCAGCCGCCGCGGUAAUUC